UACGUAGGUGGCAAGCGUUGUCCGGAUUUACUGGGCGUAAAGAGCGCGCAGGCGGUCGUUUAAGUCGAAUGUGAAAGCCCCCCGGCUCAACUGGGGAGGGUCAUUCGAUACUGAUCGACUUGAAGGCAGGAGAGAGAAGUAGAAUUCCCGGUGUAGUGGUGAAAUGCGUAGAUAUCGGGAGGAACACCGGUGGCGAAGGCGGCCGAACUGGACGGUGACUGACACUGAGACGCGAAAGCGUGGGGAGCAAACAGG
This 255-nucleotide ribosomal RNA is filed under the name uncultured bacterium. RNAcentral describes it as "partial 16S ribosomal RNA". It matches the Rfam family "Bacterial small subunit ribosomal RNA", at positions 524 to 776 of the family's 1533-position model. The record is from RNAcentral.